AUUGAACGCUGGCGGCAUGCCUUACACAUGCAAGUCGAACGGUAACGGGUCCUUCGGGAUGCCGACGAGUGGCGAACGGGUGAGUAAUAUAUCGGAACGUGCCCAGUAGUGGGGGAUAACUGCUCGAAAGAGCAGCUAAUACCGCAUACGACCUGAGGGUGAAAGGGGGGGAUCGCAAGACCUCUCGCUAUUGGAGCGGCCGAUAUCAGAUUAGCUAGCUGGUGGGGUAAAGGCCUACCAAGGCAACGAUCUGUAGUCGGUCUGAGAGGACGACCAGCCACACUGGGACUGAGACACGGCCCAGACUCCUACGGGAGGCAGCAGUGGGGAAUUUUGGACAAUGGGCGCAAGCCUGAUUCAGCAAUGCCGCGUGCAGGAAGAAGGCCUUCGGGUUGUAAACUGCUUUUGUCAGGGAAGAAAUCUUCUGGGCUAAUACCCCGGGAGGAUGACGGUACCUGAAGAAUAAGCACCGGCUAACUACGUGCCAGCAGCCGCAGUAA
Molecule: ribosomal RNA, 500 nt
Filed under: uncultured bacterium
Lineage: Bacteria
Description: partial 16S ribosomal RNA
Rfam family: Bacterial small subunit ribosomal RNA
Source: RNAcentral